This 200-nucleotide ribosomal RNA is filed under the name uncultured bacterium. Its description in RNAcentral is "partial 16S ribosomal RNA". It matches the Rfam family "Bacterial small subunit ribosomal RNA", at positions 29 to 258 of the family's 1533-position model. The record is from RNAcentral.
AGCGAACGCUGGCGGCAGGCCUAACACAUGCAAGUCGGACGCACCUUCGGGUGAGUGGCGGACGGGUGAGUAACACGUGGGAACGUACCUUUUGGUUCGGAAUAACGCAGGGAAACUUGUGCUAAUACCGAAUGUGCCCUUCGGGGGAAAGAUUUAUCGCCAUUAGAGCGGCCCGCGCUAGAUUAGCUAGUUGGUGAGGU